GAUGAACGCUGGCGGCGUGCCUAAUACAUGCAAGUCGAGCGGACGGACGCUAAGCUUGCUUCUCUCAUGUUAGCGGCGCGCGUGUGAGUAACGCGUGGAUACUCUCCCUGUCUGACUGAGAUCACUUCGGAAAACCGGCUCUAAUCCCGGAUGAUCUUUUGCACCGCGUGGUUCAAAAGUAAGAGACGGUCUUGCUGUCACUUCUAGCUGGAUCCGCGCUGCAUUAGCUAGUUGGUAAGGUAACGGCUUACCACGGCAACGAUGCGUAGCCGACCUGAGAGGCGGAUAGGCGACACUGGAACGUGGACAGGGUCCAGACGCCUAAGGGAGGCAGCAGAAGGGAACCUGCCGCAAUGGGCGAAAGCAUGGCGGAGCAACGGCGCGUGAGUGAUGAAGGUCUUCGGAUCGUAAAACUCUGUUAUUAGGGAAGAACAUAUGUGGAAGGAACUGAGGAGAUCGUGACGGUACCUAAUCAGAAAGCCACGGCUAACUACGUG
RNAcentral lists this ribosomal RNA (497 nucleotides) under uncultured bacterium. RNAcentral describes it as "partial 16S ribosomal RNA". It matches the Rfam family "Bacterial small subunit ribosomal RNA", at positions 28 to 507 of the family's 1533-position model. The record is from RNAcentral.